This 44262-nucleotide long non-coding RNA is filed under the name Brassica rapa (field mustard). RNAcentral's name for it is "long non-coding RNA (BRAP_LNC003741)". Lineage: Eukaryota; Viridiplantae; Streptophyta; Magnoliopsida; Brassicales; Brassicaceae. The record is from RNAcentral.
UCACACACAUAGAAAGCUAAUAGUAAUGGAUAACAACUUUGAAAAGACACGAAAGGAAUAUUGAAUUUUUAAUUAUCGUGGAAAUUUUAGGUACUCGCUCUUCAUCGCAUUGAAAUCAAAUGAGAAUUCCUUUUUGAUGCCUAUCAGUUAAAUGAAGAUUAAAGUGAAAUGUGAAUCACAUGCACCUUGAUAAGGACUGGCGGUGUGGAUUUAUAGCUGUUUGCAUUAUUACUUUUUUUUUUUUUUUUUUGCUCAACUUCAACUGAUUCAUUCACCCAUAAACUUGGUACAAGACAUUUUGACACACAAUGUUUCUACCACAUAUACAACACUGCAUCUUAGCAACACUCUGGAACACUCACUAGGUGAAAACUCACUCGGAUCCAGCGCAGCCUAGAGUACAAUGCUGUAUUUUUAACCACAGUGAGAUGAGAGAGCUCCACGACUCGAAGCAAACCAUCUCUUAAACCACCUAAUUAGACCUCAUGAUACAGACACGUUUACUAACUUAAUGAGACAAUCCUAAAAACGAGAUUACAAAUUAUACCAAGCUGUUGGUCCCUUAAGAUCGGCGUGAUAAACUUGACCCAACAACAUCAUCACCUUAGGCGUGUUCCCGCAUUAGUUUUGUACCACCAGCUUUCAACGUGCUGAUCCUCAGCCAUAAAACCGGACAAACCUAUCCGGAAUGAAAGAUCGAGCCUUGGUAGCCAGCACGAACCGGAACUGUGAAUCCAAGUUUCCAGCGGUGUGGGGCUCGGACCACCGACUAAAUUGAUUUUCGCCGGCGCUGGGAUGUCGAACCACCACCACGUACCCCUUAAAGGUAAGCUCCUCCAGUCGACCACUCCUUCGUCGCAGACCUUCGGUACAUGUUAUCCCCGAAAACCAGAAGACAAACCACCUUUCACUCGCCGUCAAUCCUUGCCUCCGAAAGUCUCACCUCCAUGUGCGAAGGUAGAUCCAUGACGGAGAACUCAUCACACCGAGUCACGCGCCACCACCGGUUAGGAAUCGCCACAGAUCUGUAAAGGGAAAAUCAGAUCUUGCUCAUCCUCAAGCUCUAAACGCCGACCCACUUCUCUUUCGUCGCCACCACAGCCUCGCCGCUGUUCCAGAGGGAGCCGGAAUGCGACGCCAACGGAUCCGGAGAUCCGCCGGGAAAAUCCCAACUAACCCAGAAUCAACGAGCAAGGAGACCAGAUGAAAGACAGAAAAGAAGAGAGCAAAGGAAAAAGGAGAUGAGGGGAAAGGAGGAGCCUCCGGCACCGGCACCGCCGGACCGGAGUUAGGGUUUCACGGCUUUGAUGUUAGAGAUGGACGAGAGCGUUUGUUAGAGAGAGAAGUUUUUUUCUAAUGAUUUUCUAAUGAAUGUAAAAAAAUAUUAUUUGCAUUAUUACUUUACUAGGGAGCGUCCGCGGUUAGCACGGAAUAUUGUUUUAUUGUUAUUAAAAUUAUGAUUUUUUGGAUAAUGUAAUUAUGUGGUCACUUUUAUUUAUUAAGAACGUUAUUUAGUAUUUUUAUUGUGUUAUGUAGUAGUAAUAGUGAUAUGUAAAUAUAUUUUGUCUUUUUUUCUUUCAAUAUUGAGUUUUGUCUGUAUAGUAUUUGUUAGUACUGAAUUGAGCCUAUCAGUAAAAAUAUAUUGAAUUUCAAUAACUUUGCAUCUAUACAUUUGUUGAUUCUAAGAUUAACACUUUCAGCGUCAAAAUUUUCUUUUUUUCAUAUUUUUUCAUAUUAUAAUUUUCAAGAUGUUUUUGCUUUUUUCCCAUAUUUAAACAUUGAUGAGUCUUCAACAUCUAUGUAUUUUGUUUACCUUUAUGGUAUGUGGUGUUUCUCAUCAUCACCGAAAAAGACUCACCUCCUGCUCUUGUUCUUUAUCACCUUCUUCACCUUGAGAUUUCUGGUAUUUGUUGUAGAUCGGGUUUAGGAGUUCCCAGUUGUGCGGUUGUUUCUCGCGUCGUUUUAGGCUGCUCCAUUCAAUAUUGGAUGCUUCUCUUCUUCCUUAGAUUUCAGCUGAUGUUAGGAAAUGCAUCUCUUUGGGUUGAGUCAUAGUUUAGUCGUCAUUGAAGUUGUUUUCCUCGUCGUUGGCUUACCAUCGAUACUCUCUUCUCGUCUUGGUUUUCAAGAUAUGAUUUUUGGUGAUCUGACUUCUAUAACUCGAGGACGGUUCCACAAUUUGAUGAUUUCGUUUUGUCUACCCUUCCAUCUAUGUUCCCUCAUCUCGUUGCAGCUUUCAUCGCUGCUUGCGUCUAUGUGACUCUCCCUUUCACCAUGUUUGCCACUCCAGGUUUGGAUAGUGUUCUCCUCCGAGUAUGCUCUGUAGAUUUGGAAGAUUGUUAAUGGUCUCAAGUCUGGGCUCAUGUUUCUUGGGGUUGGCUUCCGUUCUCCCUCACUCAUAUUGUUCUCUCUUCCCUUGCUUCUUUUAGUAUAAGUGUGCAGUAUCAGUCUAUUAGAGCUUUGGUCCUUUUAUCCAGAGCUUUGUGGUGCUUCACCGGUAUAGCCGUCUUGUUUGUGCUUGUUUAGUUUACGAGGUGCUUCUUACAUCUUAGCUGGUGGUUGUGCUUAUCGUUCGUUAUGUAUGUCUCUUCCUGCUUCGUGGUGAUUUUGGCCUUAUGUUGAUUAUUCUUCCUCUAACCCGCUUUCUUGGUUCUUUGCAUUGGUCCUUGAUCACACUCAUUUGUGUUUGACGGAUUGCUUUAUCUCAAGAUUAUCUUUCUACAUUUUACUGAUUUUUGAUUGUUUUGGCCAAGACACUCUAUGAUAAAGUGGGGUAAGUUAGUUUUCGUUCUUGAUCGCCUUUGAGCUCUAGACCUUUAUUGAGUUAGUGUUACUUUGGCAUUUUUUUCUCUGUGAUUAUGGAAGUUUUAUGUUUAGAUUACAUGUUCUGCUUUAGUUUAAUUAAUAUUAAGAUAAAUAUAUAGUUUCAAAUGAAAUAAUAGAAAAUAGUAAAAAAUAAUAAAAUAGCAAAAGUUUAUGUUAUUUUUAGCUGUGAAUAAAUUAAAUAUUUAAAUUAUAUUUAUAUUUUUUACUUAUUUCUUUAUUCGUUUUGCAAUUUUUUGAACAAUAAAAUAGAUUAAAAUAGAUUAUCAAACUUCAAAUGUUCAUGGUUAGUGUAAGAAGGAUUAGAAAGUGUAUAAUUAGAAAAUAGUAAACCAAAUUACAUUAAUCUAAAAGAAGAAAGAUCUAAAAUGUAAAAAGACAAAAAAAGAGGACAUAUGUCAACAAAUCCCCUAUCCACAUGUCAUAAGAAGAGAGAAAAAUCUACUUUUUAUAUAUAUAUUUAUUACUAGGAUUUAAUUUGUGCUAUGUGCAGGCUAUUUUGAUUUUUAAAUGUUAACUAUAUAGCUAUUCUUUUGGACGUUGUAUUUUGAACAACAACAAAAUUUUGAAUUGUAUGUUUAUGUGAAUACAUAUUUCCUUAGAAAAAACCAGAAAACUGGGUCUGACUGGUGACCAUUCGGGAAACAAGAGGAACGAAUAGAAAAUGAAUAUACAGGAAUAAAAUAGCAGGAAUGAAAAUGAAUGGUUGUUCAUUCUCAAAUUUAACAAGGAAUAAUUUUGUUCUUUAAUUCUCUACAAAAAAAAGGAAUGAGAGGGAAUUAUUAUUCCUUGUGAAUGAUGAUUUUUUAUAGGAAUGUUAGGGAAUGCAUUAUUCUUCAUCAUUCCUUGGUCACCAUUCAUACCCAUAUAUUUUUCAGAUAGAUGUUUGAUAUAGUUUUCCAUUUUUUAUAUUGUAUAUUUACUUAUUAUUUAUUUUUCUUAUAUUGUAGGGCAAUUCUCUCAAAUAGCCAUUUUAAAGUUUUUGUCAAAAUAACCUUCAAUAAAGAAAAUGACCAAAAUAGCCAUUUUUAUUUUUAAAAUUUUAAUUUUAUUUUAUUUUUUAAAAUUUGAAAUUCUAUACUCAAAACUCCACCCCUUAACUCUAAACUCUAAGUCCGGAUUAGUUAACCCUGUGGUAUAAAUAUAUUUUUACUCUUUAAUAAAAUUUCUUUUGGUCAUUUUUCUCAUUGAUGGUUAUUUUUGUAACAAAAACUAAAAAAAAUGCUAUCCUAAGUAAUUUCUCCAUAUUGUAUAUUUAUUAUUAUAAUUUUCUUUCUCUUAUAUCAGAUCGUAAUAUUACGAUAAAUGUUUAAUGUAAUGUUUAUGAUUCUUAUAUUGUAUAUAUGAUUAUUAUUUAUUUAACUAUACAUUUUUUAGAUAGAUGUUUAAUUUAGUUUUUCCAUUUUUAUAUUGUAUAUUUACUUACUGUUUAUCAUUUCUUAUCUUGUAUGUUUACUGAUUUUAAAUUUCUUGCUUUUAUAUCAAUGAUAAUAUUACGUUAUAUAUUUAAUGUAAUAUUUUUGUUUCUUAUAUACUAUAUUUACUUAUUAUUUAUUUUUUCUUAUAUUUUGUAUUUAUUUACUUAUUAUAAUAUGUAACAUUUAUAUUUCUUAUAUUGUAUAUUUACUUCUUCCUAUAUUGUAUAUAUAUUUACUUAUAAGAUUAUUUGAAAAUAAUAAAAAUGUAAAAAAAUAAAUUUUCAGAUAGAUUUUUAAUAUAGUUUUUCUAUUUCUUAUAUUGUAUAUUUACUUAUUAUUUAUUUUUUCUUAUAUUGUAUAUUUACUUAUUCUAUUUUUUUGUUUUUAUAUCAAAUGGUAGUAUUACGUAUAAAUGUUUAAUGUAAUAUUUAUAUUUUUAUAUUGUAUAUUUACUUAUUAUUUAUUUUACUGUAUGUUUUUCAAAUGUUUAAUGUAGUUUUUAUAAUUCUUAUAUUAUAUAUUAACAUGUUUAUUAAGGUUUUCUACGCUGAGUCAAGAUAUGUAAAACUCAUAUUCUUAAAUAUGUUUUUUUGUCUUUGUUUUACUAAAUUUGACUAAGUUUUUAACACAAACUUGUAAAAAUUGUGAUAUGUUUUGACUAAUUACUAUUGUUUGUUUUCAUCUCUUAAAUAUGCACCAGUGAUGAUUAUUGCUAUGUGUGGGUAAAAUAUUUGUUUCUUAAAAAUGUUGUAUCAAUGACUUUAGUAUCAUUAUUGUUAUAUGCAUUAAUGAUGUUUUUUGCUAUGAGUGAGUAGAAUGGUUAAAAUAAUUCUUAAUAUGUUAUAUCAAUGAGUUAAGUAUCAUUAUUGUUACUAGGGCAGUUCCCGGGCUACGCCCGGGUUAUUUUCUAUGAAAAUAUUAAAAUAGAAUAUUAUAUUAGUUUAAUAUAUUUUUGUUUAAAUCAUGUUUUAAUGUAAAAUAAUGUUUGGAUUAAAAUAAUCAUUGAAUGAAAAAAAAAGUAUUAUCGAUGGCUUUUGGAACUUAAUGAUACAAUGUUUAUUUUAAUUGACAUAGGAAGCAGUAAUGUAAAUUUAAAAACAGUUGGUAGAUCAGUUUUAAUAUUUAAGUUUGUUAUAAAUCAUAUUUAGAAGCAGAGUAAAGUUAUUAACAUUAUUAAGAGCAAAUGCUAAAGUCUUAAAACAAAGAAGCAGAAAUUAUAAAUAAAAUGGUAGAAUUUUUGAGGGAGAGGGUGGCAGAUGUGAUGGAAAUUUCUUCAGUUAAAGAGCCUGAAAUUUAUUUUGAAAUAAAUCAGUGAACAUAACUUAGUAAUAGGAAUCAAUUUACUUAACUAAUAGAAUAUAGAGACGUACUUGGAAGUAGCGAGGUAUUCAUCAUAAGGGAAUGAGUUUUAACACUGAUUCAUUUCUGUUGAUAGCUCGAAUACUGCAUAGGAGAUAAAUGUAAAUUAUUAGAUAGAUAACCCCUAAAGAAACUUUCAAUGAGAUUCUGAGUUUAAAUUUUACUUACUUUCAUGUGAACGAAGGCGGUUGAAGAUUUCUUUGUAGACUAUGUUCUUCAUUUUUUGUUUGUGUGAGUCUUCGUCUUUGAUGAUUUUUUAGUCAUGCUUUGCUUGUUACACGUGAGAGGGCCACGUAGAGUUGACCAUGUGCGAAGACCGGUCUAGGUAGAUAUAUGAUAACCUCUUUUAAGCUUUGCGCCUGGCUUUUGUUGAUAGUCAUUGCAUAACACAAUCUGAUAGGGAAUUGUCGUUGACGUAAAGUGAACGGUAGCUUUGUUUCACCAUGCAAGAGGACAAUUCUUGGGAUCAAAACUUCUUUUCCAAUGUGUGAGCCAGAUAUUAUAUUUGCCUUAAGCACUCUUUCGCCUAUAUGGAUUAGGAUCAUACGGGUACCAUUAUAUAAUCCUUUUUUCUGAUUUAUGUUUCACAGAAGCAUAAUCGGGACCCCAACUUUGAGAUUGAGUUUAUGAGAAGGCAAUCCUUGAAACUCCAUGGAAUUGAGAUACUCAAUCGCGUAUAAAGUAUCAUUUUGAUUAGAUUGAGUUUCCGAAACCUCAAAGCUAUCGUAACUGUAGUAGUCUCUUGACUCCCCCUCGGUUUUGGAGAUUGUAUAUGCAUUGAUUUCAUCGACUAUAUCAUUUCGGAGUGUAAGUAUAGCUUUAUCAGUGUAGGAACUCUGGGAGGCCUUUAUUUUGUUGACAUCACCAAACGCAGCAUCAAGAACUUGUUUUAAUGACUCAUCCUUAGUCUCUUGGACCAAUGAAUUGUCGACGAUUAUCAUUUGGUCAUGGUAGGCAUCAUCCUCAUCUUCUUGUCCUGAUUCUGGACGACCUUCUCCGACUUUGAGAAGCCACUCAGAGAACUUUGUAAAAUAUCUAUAGACGGUUAAUAAAUAAUGUAUUCAUAAUAUGUGAGUUUAAAAAAAAAUUAAUACAGUAAUAGAUAGUGCAGAAAAUUAUUUAAAAAAGUUUAUCAUAUAUUAAAAAUUAAUAUUUAGCUAAUUAUUAAAUAUUUCAUAAAAAUAAAAAUAAUUUAUUUUAAUGGUUUUUGAAUUGAUGAUAUAUGUAUAUACUAUUUGAAAAUUAUUAGGCCUGCGAGUGCAAGCAAAACACCUAUCAUUCAUACAAAGAAGAAGAAAUUCAUACGAUAUUAUAGUUGUCUUACCUACAAAACUUCUAAUAGUAUAGUUAGUUAACUUUUUAAUAAUAUAUGAGAACUCCAGCUUCUAUUAUAUGUAGUAAAUAAAAAAAUAACUAAAAUACAGUUCUUUUUAUAAAAUCAAUACACAUGUAUAAAUUACUUUUAUGAUAAUUUUUGGAAUCAUUAAUUAAAAAAAAUACUAAAUUACAGUUCUUUCUAUAAAAUCAAUACUUAUGUAUACAUCACUUUUAUGAUAAAUUUCAUAAUAUGUGAGUUUUUAUAAAAUUUAAUACAGUAAUAAAUAGUGCAGACAAAUAUUUUUAAAAGUUUAUCAUAUAUUUAAAAUUAAUAUUUAUUUAAUUAUUAAUUAUGUUUAUAAAAAAAGAUUAUUGUAAUGGUUUUUAAAUUGACAAUAUAUCUAUAUACUAUCUUAUGUUAUGUGCAGGGAAAACACUUAUCAUUCAUACAAAUAAGAAGAAGUUCAUAUGAUAUCACAGUUGUCUGACCUACAAAACUUCUAAUAGUAGAGUUAGUUAACUUUUUUUAAUAUGAGUUUUAGUUUGUUUACUAUAUAGAUAGAUUUUUAAGUUUUUUUUUACCACGUUCUUAUUAAAAAAAAAGAAUUAUCUUAUUUUUAUCAAACCAUAUACGUGUUUUUUCCUUAUCAAUACUAACUCUUAUAAAAAAUGAAAUAGUCAUAUAUGAGAUUCCAGGUUCUAUUAUAUUUAGUUAAUAAAAAGAUACUAAAAUAUAGUUCUUUUUAUAGUAUACAAAUAAGUCCACUACAAAUAAUUUAUGGUUUUUUAAUAACUGAUUACUAACCUUACUAAGUUUUAAAGGAUUUUUUGAGACCAGUUGCAUCCCAUCUAUAAUUCAAUUCUCAAUAUUAUAGUCUAUAUGUAAUUAUACUACAAUAUGAUUGAAUUCUAUUUUAUUAGUUUAGUAAAACUGUAUCUGAGUUUUUAAUUUAAAAAUAUUUGCAUCAUUAAUAUGGUUUUAGUAGAACCAUCUAAUAAUACUUCCCAAAUUCUCCAAACUCUUUAUUGUUUUAACAUUUUAGAAAACAUUAAUUUGUCUAAAACAAAUCUAUCAAGCUGAUCAACGUUAUGAAUUUUAUUUGAAAGCUAGGUUUGAUAAGUCCAAAAUGAGAAGAUAAUGGCAGUUUUGUGGUUAGAUUUAUGUGGCAUGAUUUGAGUCACAUAAUUGAUAAGUUUGGAGUUUUGAUUACCCGGAGGAUCUAAGUUUAGUUUAAAAGUUUUCUGGCAAAUUAAAAUGAUAAUAUUAUAAGUUAAUGUUCUGGCUUAAUUUAACUUCAUCUACAUGUAACUAAAUUAUAACCACCGUUUACCUGAGCGAGAAGAAGAUGUUAUUUUGUGGAAUGAUCUGAGUUACAUAAUUGAUAAAUUUUGUGUUUUGAGUACCGGAAGGAUCAAAGUUUAGUUUGAAAGUUUCCUUUAUUUAUAAAUAAAUCCUUUAUUUAUUGCCUUUAUUUAUUGCCGUCUUUUUAAAUUUGUAAAUAUAUUUCUAAACUUAUGUACGAUUUUAUAUUUGUGAUUUUAAAUUUUAAAAUAAAUGUUAAUGGGUGUCAAGUUGCAUUUGCACAUAUAACCAUUAAUAGACUGAAAAUAUAUUCAUACAUAAGAGUAAUUAUUUUAAGCAUAGACGUGUACAACAACGAUUUCGAAAUCCUUUUUAAAAAAUAUAAGUCUUUCAAAUUGUUUCACAUUGCUUUUAAGAUUUAAUUAGGUUAAUAUUAUUAAAAAUAAUUUGAUUUUUUUCUUAUUUUUGCAAGUAUAUAUUUAUAAAAUUGUGUAUACUUUUAUAUAUCUUGGUUCGGUAUAAAUUUAAGUGAUAAAAACUUUAGGUUCUAGUUAUUCAAGAAUUACGUAAUAUAUUCUAUUCUAUAAGUUUAUAUACGGUUUUGUAGUUAAAGAUUUACAAUAUAAUCAUAUCACAUCACAUAUUUCUCCAACAUAGUUAUUUGAUGUUAACAUAAACAAAUAAUUUUGACAGAAAGAAAAAAGAUGAUAUCAAAUUAUCAGACUACAUUAGAAUAUCUGUAUUGUAUAAAUGCAGUCAAUUUACAAUAUGCAUAGGUUCGUAGAUAUGUCACAGUCAAUAUUACAUAAAUAUCAUGUGGCAGAGUUAUUAUAUAUUAUUAUAGAUACUACGGAAGUAAAUGUUUGUCAUAUCCAGCCCACUGCAAAUGAAAGAAAAACGUGAAGCCUAGAUGUGACUGAAGCCCAUCUGAUAUGUAAAAACGAAAUGAGCUGAUUGGUCGAUUAUUUUUGAUGAUGUGGACAGCCUAAUUGCUCACUAUAUCUUCCUUUUAGUAUAGGAUAGAUAUGCAUCAAUGAUGUUUACUAUGAGUGGAAUAUUGUGGAAUAUGAACAUAUUUACCAAAAAAAUUAUUAAUAUCUCUUCAAAUUCACAAAUAAAAUCACAAAUAAAGGAGUACACAUGCAAAUCAAAAAACAGACCAGAAACAUAACUAUUAUAGAUCAUUUCUCUGUAAAGACAAGCUUGGACUCCACUUGAUAUGGAAGAAGACUCUGUCAGAAGAAGUUUUUUAGAAAAAUUAUAUUUUAGAACACUUUGGAAGACUUAUGGGAAGUCUUUUCGGAAGUCUUCUAGCGUAUUAUAUUUUAGAAGAUUUCCCAUAAAUCUUCCAAAGUCUACAACAGAUCUGAAAAACAUACAUAUCAAAGAAUGUUCAAAUGGCUUAAAACAGAGAAAAUGAGUGAAAAAUUAUAUAGAUAUACUUUUAUAGAACACAUAAAGUAUAUAUCCAAGUGGAAGAUGAGAACCAUCUCAUUAAAAAUCUGCAACAAAAAGAUAGAUUAGUGAGAAAGACAUGAACAAAAAUGAAAAAUUUAUAUAAAGUUUGGUGUUUUCAAGCCAAAGAGACUAGAAUGGAUUUGGUGAGUUUUAAUUUGAGAAAAAUGUAGGAACUUUGUGCAACAUGAACUUACCAAAUGAAAAAAAAAAUCAGAUAUAAAAACUUGUCAAACACUCAGAUCUGUUAUGAAAGGAAGACAUGUGAGAAGACUCCGUCAGAAGACUUCCAGGUAAGUCGUUUUGGAAGUAUUCUAGCGGAUUAUAUUUUAGACGACUAACAGGUAAGUUGUCCCAAACGUCGUCCCAAAAGUCUUCCAGAUCUAAAAAACCUGCAUAUCCAAAUCCAGAUCUGAAAAACAUGCGUAUCCAAAAACGUUCAAAUAGCUUAAAACAGAGAAAAUGAGUGGAAGAUUAUAUAGAUCUACCUUUAUAGACCACACAAAAAUACAUAUUUAAAAUUAGUAGAUCUACCUUUAAAUAAGUGGAAGAUGAGAACCAUGUGAUGAAAAACCUGCAAAACAAGAUAAACUAGUUAGAAAGAUAUGAGACAAAAACAAUAAAUUGAAAUAAAGUUUGGUGUUUAUAAGUUUAAAGAGAUUAUAGAGAGUUUGAAGAGUUUUAGAAUGAGGAACAUUCCAUUUUUGCUGCAGCCAUUUGAGAGGAGAAGAUAAAAUGUUUAAAUUUUUCUUUAUAUAUGAAGACAAAAAUUUCAAUUAGAUUAAAUAUUUUCGAUUCAAAAGACUUUCAAGUAAAUUAGAAGACUUACUAGACGACUUACUUGUAAGUCACCCAGAAGACUUCAAUAUUUUUAGCGGGAUACUAAAAUAUUUUUAGCGGGAGUUAGAAGACUUUCAGAGAAGUCUUCUAAUCGCCAGCCUAUUUACAUGUUAGUCCUCUAGACCCUAAACAUAACCCCUAAACAAAAUAAACUAACUAAACACUUCAUAAAAUCAAAUUAAACUUAAAAAGUGUUUAAUAUACACAUAAAUAAAAACAUAUAGGUAAAAUUUUAAUGUUUCAAAAAAACAUUUAAGCUUUCCAAAAUCUAACCCUAAGAAUACAUACAAUACUACAACAUAUAUUGUCAAACCCUAAGCCAAAAAAUAUCAUGAUUAACUAUUUUCAUUCAUCUAUGUUGAAAACUAUUCAAUUUUAUUAUAUCUUAAUUUAUAUUACUUAAAACUGUUUAUAAUUACAUGAUCUUAAUUUUUCACUUGUCAAAUUUUUUUUUCUUUUAAUUAUAAAUUAUUUUUAAGAUCAACUACACCAGGAGACUUAUAGUAUCUCAGAAGACUCAUACGACUUUCCGAGGCUAUAUUCGUAAAAAUGAGUUCUAUUUUUUGUUUGGUCAAAAGGGGCUGACUGUAAUUUCGCAAGGCUUUUAGGUUAGUUUUGCAUUUGAUUCAAGUUUGGGUAUAAUUUUGUAUUUAAAAUCAAGUUUUGAGUCAUAUUUGGCAAAUCCACCUAUUUUUAUUUCUUAUAUUCUAUAUUUACUUAUUAUUUAUUUUAGUAUACAUUUUUAGAUAUAUGUCUAAUUUAUUUUUUCCUUUUCUGAUAUUGUAUAUUUACUUAUUGAUUAUUUUUUUUUAUGUUGUAUAUUUAUUUAUUCUAAUCUUUUGCUUUUAUGUCAAAUAAUAAUAUUACACUAGAUGUUUAGUUUAAUAUUUCUAUUUCUUAUAUUAUAUAUUUACUUAAUAUUUAGUUUUUCUUAUAUUGUAUAUUUAUUUAUUCUAAUAUACGAUAAGUGUUUAAUAUAAUAUUUCUAUUUCUUAUACUGUAUAUUUACUUAUUAUUUAUUUUUUCUUAUGUAGUAUAAUAAUUUAUUCUAAUUGUUUUGAUUUUAUAUCAAAAUUGUAAUAUUACGAUAGAUUUUUAAUGUAAUAUUUCUAUUUCUCAUAUUGUAUAUUUCCUUAUAUAUAUUUAUAUUAAAUUAUUUUUUGAUUUUUUGGUAUUAAUGCCACGUCGGGGUGGACACUUUACCCGAAAUCCGAAGUGUCACCCGAACCCGAUCCGAAAUAUCCGAACCCAAAAUUGGUAAUAUCCGAACCUGAAUGGAUAUCCGAAGAUAACCGAACAUAUGUAUAAUUAACCUUAUAUUUCUAGUUUACAUCUUUCAUUUUAUAUAAAAUAUUUAUAUUGAUACUACACAUACUUUAAAUUCAUAUGAUAUACAUACAAUUACGUAGAAGAUGAUUUGCUAUUCACUUAAAAUGUAUGUCAAACUUUUUAUUUCAACAAUUAGCAAAAAGUUACAUCCAAAUUGAAAAACAAUAACAAAAUUAAUGUCUUUUUAGUUUGAAAAUGUUAUGUACAAAUCUAUUAACCAUUCAAUCUAUUAAAAAUAAAAAAAAUAGUUAAGUAAAAGUUAUAUAUUUAAAUACAAGAAAUUUGAGAAAUGAAAAUUUUCAUUUUUUUUUCUUCAAAAUCAAAAUAUACAAACCUGAUCCGAAAUAACCGAAACCGAACUAAAAAUACCCAAACCCGACCUGAAGUACAAAAAUACCCGAACGGCUUUUACACCUCUAUACCGAAAUACCCAAAAAUCAAAAAUACCCGACCCGAACCCGAACGGGUACCCAAACGCCCACCCCUAAUGCCACGUGUCAUCUUUCGGAAAAAGUUUUUUUCACUGAUGUGGAUGCUCUAUGGAGCCUCAAAAGGUCCCUUUUAUAAGUAUAGAUUGUAAUAGUACGAUAUAUGUUUAAUGUAAGUUUCUUAUAUUGUAUUUACUUAUUAUUUAUUUUAUUAUAUAUUCUUUCAGAUAGAUGUUUAAUGUAGUAUUUUUUAUUUCUUAAAUUGUAUGUUUACUUAUUAUUAUUUUAUAUAUAUGUAUUUACUUUUAAUUUUUUUUUACUUUUUUGGUAAUAAUGUCACAUAUCAUCUAUCAGGAAAUUUUUUUUUUUGCUGAUGUGAACGCUAUAUAGAACCUUAGAAGAUCUCUUUUAUUAGUAUAGAUUAUCGCAUAUCUAUUCUAUUAAAGGGGAAGCAGUCUUAAUAAAUCUACUUAUAAAGGUUGUUUGGACUCUUUCAUUUUUUAGUCCAACCUAUUAUAUAUAACUAAAUCUUAUAACCAACCUAUUUUAUAGCAACCAAAUAAAAAUCUCCUACAUUUAAAUAAAACAUAUUACUGUUUAUUGACUUUAAAUAUUAUAAUCUAAACUGUCGACCUAUAGCCUUUUAAAUAUGUGCGUAGGUUUUGUAUGAACCAUUGUUCUAUUAGUAAUGUUUAUAUAAUAUGUUUGUAUCGAAUGAUGGUAUGACAUUAUUAUAAACCAACAUUAUACCUCAUAUAACAAAACUUUAAUGAACCAUAUAGAUAUCUAUUAUUUAAAUGAGUCAGUGUUUUCAUCACAAAAAUAUAACAAAUUAGUGUUUUCAUCAAAGCAUUUUAACAACUUACAGGUUUGGUAAAAUGUUCAUACCUAAGAGAGAGUUAUAUAAGAGUGUACAUAUAUUUGAACAAAAAAAGAAUACAUACAAAAUCUUAAAUAAAUUAAUUCAUGAAUUAUAUAAUUUAAAUAAAUUAUUUUUUUGACAUCAUAUAAUUUUGUAACAUAAUAAUUUACAACAUUUUCAAAAUAUUAAUUCACAAAUUUUGUAUAUAAUCCAAAGAAAAACGCGCUUUCAAAACGCGGAUCAAAAUCUAGUUUGUGCGUUAAGAGUACAAAUAAGUCAAUACCGUCACUCCACUAGUCCACUUCCCUUACUGAGGAUUCAAGAUCCAACUCGUACGAAAACAUAUAUUUUACUCUUCAUAUUUAUUUUAUUUAUUUAAUUAGGAAAAGUUUGGAUCUUCCACCCUAAUUUACAUGUGGUAUGGAAUUAACAUGCAUUAAUAUCAUGAACAUGUGUUUUUCUCUUUCAUUUUCCCGUGAAAACCACAAAAACAUAUUUUUCCAUCAAAAAACAUUUUCCGUAAAACUCGAAAAACACAUUUUCAUGCCAAAACUACAAAACGCGUUUUCACGUCAAAAAUAUUUUUUCACGCCAAAAACGCAAAAACGCGUUUUCCUGCCAAAAUCGUAAAAGGUGUUUUCUCGACAAAACCAAAAAUUAUCAUUUUCCUGCCAAAACCAAAAAUCUUGUUUUCCCGCCAAAACCGAUAAAACGUGUUUUCCCGCCAAAACCGAAAAACGUGUUUUUCCGCUUAAACCGAAAAAUCUCGUCCCCCCACCCCCCAUAAACUGCAAAAAUGCAUUUUCUCGCCAAAACCAAAAAAACUAUUUUUCCGCCAAAAUCUUGUUUUUCCGUCAAAAUAAAAAAAUUUCAUUUUCCGCCAAAACCGAAGUUACAGUCGAUUUAUUAUUAAUACUCUUUUAGUUUGAAACUCUAAAGUUUUUUUUUUCAAAUGCAUGUUUAUCAGUUUUUUUGUUUAUUAGAAGUUAUUAUUGAGUAAAUUUUAACGUGUGAUUAAAUCAAGAUAAAAGUAUUUUGGUAGUUUGUUUACUAAACUCAUUUAGAUGGAAAUAAAAAUAAAGAAACAAAUAUAAAAUUCAUUUAGAUGAUUCAUCGAGAUGAACCAUCUGCAUGAACAAAUAAACAGUCCCACAAAUGUGAAUUGGUCAUCUGAAUAGAUCAUAUAAAUGGAUUAUCUAAAUGAAGAUGACAGACGGUGAAACGAACAGCCCUUAGAUAGAUUGGAUGCUUAUCACCAUGAUCUAAUAUUAAUCCCUGGUCAACAAAACAUGAUGAUGAUGAUGAUGACGACUUCUUAACAAAGAGCUUUCUGAGCAAAAAUCCCGAUUGUCUGUUACGUCUGCUCGGUUUAAUUCAAUACAGCCCAUAUAUCGCACGGUCGCGUUAAACAACACAAUUACUAAAAUCAAUUCUUCACUCUUUUCCUGCCGAACUAAGCCAUAUAUAUGUUUAAAGCCCAUCUCUAAUUCUACCCGACCCAUGUUCUAAUUCUUAGAGCACAUCUCUAAACUAGUUUAUUAUUAGUACUAGGGGCAGAGGUCCGCGGAAGCGAGGGGUUGGGUCCAUGAUAGUUUUUUAAUCGAUAUUGCUGUAGGAGAAACUGAUGUUUGUUUAGAUGUUUUUAUAAUUGUGCUGCUGCUUUGCAGAAUUUUAAAUUUUAAGAGGCGUGGGGUGGUGGGAUUUGCUGAGAGGUUUACUGUGUUAGCCUUGUGUACGUUUUGUGUGGGGACUGUUGACCUAGUGCGUGUUUGAGGGGGUAUAUAGUGUUGGAACUUGUUUUUUUGACGAAAUGGUUUUACAUUAUCUUUCGGUAUAAAUUUUCGGAUGAAGACGUUCAUCGGAAUAACCAAAUGUUUGAUACUAUGAGUAGUGUAUUUGUAUGUCAAAAUCGGAGUUGGUUUUGAAUGAGAAAUGAAAGUCUAAUGUGGAAGUAUUCGUAAAAUAUCCAUAUUAGAAAUAUGAGGUGAGAGUCCUAUUGUGUAUAAAAUGGAAAAAAUAAAGCAAAGCUUAAAACUUUGUUUAUACUGAGAAAGAAAGAUAUUUGGACCGAACCUAAAUUUCAGGUUUUGAAUUUUGGUAAACGGGUCAAAAAAUUAAUAAAGAAGUUAGACUUGUUAGUCUAGUCUUUACUUAAUUUAUCUGUCUUUAUUUUUAAACUUUGUGGUAAAUAAAGUUUGAAUAAAAUAAAGAAAAAAAAUAUUUGCUAAUUAAAUGGGUCAACGUGAAGCAGUGAAGGUAUGAAAGCAAAAUUGAUUCUGAAUUUGUAACCUACAUCUAAAUGCACAUCCAUAUAAUUAUGAUGAGAAUCUCCAUUUUAUUGCCAACGUUUACGGUUUGGUUUAUGAAAAACUUAAGGUUUGGUUAGUGGACUAUAUAAUAGUCAUUGCUCUUCUCAUUCUAUAUAUAAUUCUUACAAAUAAGAAAACAAUUCUUCCAUGUUCAAUAGUGAUGCUUUAUUUUUAUUUUAUUUUUGUGUUCGAGAGUACAAUACAAAAUUAGGUUCGAUAGAUUUUGUUUUUCGGUAAUGGUAAACAGAAACAAUACUGCAGUUGUAUCAUGGAAAUCUGAGCGCUAUGAAACUGUACACUACGGGAUAUUUAAAAAUUUAAGGAAAGAGAUUAAUUAUCUCAGUUAUGUAAUUCUUCUUUAUUCUUAUAUUUUGUUAUUAUAAUUUUAAUUUAUGUUCUUAUUAUUCUUUAUAAAUAUCAGUUGUAAUAAAUACUACGUAUAGUAUCGGUAAAUUACUAAAUUUGUAGUCCCGUACGCUGGAAUAUAUUUUUUGAUUUUCCGAUAACGUAAGUUUAGAAGUUGUUAUAAGGUUAGUUAUUGGUUUUGCUGGGCCUUAAUGAGGCUUAAAAAUAUGAGUUUAAAAGUUUUGCAUUGGUAAAGUUUGAAAUGGGAGGAAUGAAAGUGGGCCCAGUAGCCCACUUAUGAGGAGAAAGUGAUUGAACAGUGUUCGGUGACCGCUAGUCGUUGCUCCGUUGCGUCUUCUUAAUUGACCUGCAAUGUGUGGGAUUCUUUUUUUUCCUAGGAAUAACACAUAAUUGAAUAAGAUUUUAGUUUGAUAUGUGUAGCAUUUCUUACCUCUUUUGUUGCGUGAUGGGGACGUUAGGUAUUGUUGACGAUGUUGUCGUUUACUAUGUUUACAGAGCCGACAUUUAUGUCGUGUUUACGUGAAGGCCAUGUUUACAUGUACUGAUGCAUUUAGUUUAAAUUAAGGUUAUUCUUCUCCUUAGGAGAGGGGGUUUGUAGACAAUAGAAAAACAACCCAAAUUCAAAUAGGAAAAAAAAAUAGGAAUUUAACAUUUAUAAAAAGACAAGAAAUGAAGGUUGGGUUAACGGUUUGAUGGUCUUGAAACUAUCACUAACGGGGGAGUUUGCCUUUUUUUCUUUGCCUUCAGAGCCGAGAGGUUUUGCUUAAUCAGCUUCAUUUGCAAUCUUAGCCGGCUCAACCGCAUCUGGCGCUUGCCCACAUUCCACGUACAUGACUGGAGACUGAUUGUUGCUGCUAAUCUGAAUCAUACUUGCCUAAGUGAGAAAGAAGCUAUCAUCACUAACUGCAGAAACGGUAAAGGUACGGUGGUUGAGGGUGAUAUAUUGUAUGGAGUGAAACGAAUUUGAAAAACGUAGUCCUUUCCAGCUAGCUCUUUCAAGGCAGAUGGGUAGGUCAUGCCCUCCACUGCCAUUCAUCUGUAGUACGUUUGAGGUAUGCAUGCAUUGAGAAUUUUAAACGUAGAACAAAUGGAGUUGAGGAGCGACAAGCAUACCUGCUCAAGAGCCAGAGUAGCUAUCUUUCUUGGUUAUCUUAGUCAUAUCUUAGUCAGCAACUUCUAGUUCAACACAGAACCUGGAAUAAGAGAAAGCUUUUAGGUGAGCGUAUAGGUAGAGAACGAUGUGCCUUUAGAUAUGGGUCAGGAUUAUGCACUUCGUACCUGAUAACCCCGCGGGCCUAACUGGCUUUAGUAUAAACGGACGGACCCGUAACCCGUUUAUUAUGAUAUAAUUUAUACCCGUUUAGGCCCGUCUCGUUAACGGGUAUACCCGCUAAAUAAACGGGUAUCUGUUUAAGCCCGUUUAUGAGUUUUUUUUAAAAAAAAAAUCAUAUUUAAAAAUUAUAUUUUCAAAAAUUACUUUUUAUAAUUUUUGUUUUGAAACAAAAUAGUAAUAUUAUAUGAAGUUUGUGUUACAAAACAAAUAUAUAUAGUUUGUGUGUUUUUUUUCUAGGAAAAAGUUUAGGUUAUAAUUGUGUUUAAAACCUACUAAAAUUUGUUGAUGUUUUUUAUGAUAUGAUGAAUUGAUUAAUAUUUAAUAAAAGUAAAGUAUUUUUUCCAAAUUUUGGUUUAAUUGGAAUUUCUAUUUAUUAUAAGUUUUAAAAUCAAAUAAAAACUAUUAAAAUUAUACAAAGAUAUGACAAAAGAUUAUUGACAAAAAUAGAAUUCACAAAAAAAAAAAUUAACGGGUCUAAACGGGCUAAACGGAUACUAUCAACAUAAAUGGGCUUAACAUUAAACGGGUUUAAACAGAUAACGGGUCUAAAUGGACUUGACAUUAAACAGACCUAAACGGGCAGUGUCUAAUCGGACAAGGCCUAAACGGACCCGGGUAGCCCAUAUUAACAUCCAUACCCGUAACGUUGGGAGAAGAAAAUCUGUUGCACCAACGGAAAGUGUCAGAUCUGUCCAACUUCCUGCUGCAUCCGGUGCAAGCGACAGAUGACCAUCCAUUAUCUUGGAGGACCCAAAUAAAACCAGCUACAUGUGUCUUAACAGAGACAACAAAGUAACCAUUUACUGUUUCUAUUUUUUAUCCACAUAAGCCGCAAAUAUGUGUUCAAAGACUGAGUAGUGUUAUCUGGUCGUUAGAGUUGGAGAUGUACAUGUUUAGUUUUCCAAUUAACACAAGUUAUUUCUUUUUGAUCCCUUCUAUGGUAUCUACACAAGGUAAACCUCUGUUGCUGCAUUGUCCAAACUGCAAGAACCACAAAUGUUAGACAAAUAUUAACAUACCUUUGGAGAUGAGUUUAAGCCAAGACAGUCUGUAUUGCCACCUGCUUAUGAACUCUUUGAUGGCAGAAAUAGUGGCCGAAUAGUGGCCGAAGCAAGAGUGUUUCCUAGUCUAAUUGGUAUGAAGACAGAACAGUAAAAUCAGACAUGAUUUUGAGGCUUUCAUGACACAUGUUUGGACUAUGUGAUUCGUGAGAGAGUAAAGAGUAUGAUAUCUUUUCAUCAAGGAAGAAGAACGGUGAUUCUCAUAAAUUAACCGUUUUUCUUCACGUUAAGCGAAUCCCAGAAGCUGAGGAUGUGAGAUACGGUGAACUGAGAAAUCCAACCAAGUGGGAGGGCGUCGUAGAUAUAUAAAUGAGGAAAAUAAACAGUUUAUGGAUAUAAUUUGAGAAGUAGAAAGAGUAACGUAUGUAGUGCUUUGAUGGAGGAACCCUAAAUCUAAACUGGAGAGGAAGAUAAUGCGACUAAGACCAUGUACAAUGGUUUCAACAUCCAUAUCAUUUUCAACACUCUAUUUUUCUCUUUUUAACAUUCAACAUCAUCUUAUCUUUCAUCCACCUAAUUUAUUAAACAUCCUCUUCAUUUUUAACAAAAUUUCAACACUAUACCCCACCAUUUUUAAUUCAUACUUUUAUCUUUAUAAUAUAAUAACUAUAUAUAAAUAAUAUUUUUGAUUCUAAUUAACUUAAAAACUAAAAUAAUGUAACUUUUAAGAAGAAUUUUGAAUUUUAAAAAAGUUAUUAUUAGGAUUUAUUUAACAAAAAUAGUUUAAAACAAUAAAAUAGUUAAUUAUAGGAACAAAUAACGUUUUUCUGUGUCCAAAUGAAAUGAGAGUAGUAUUUAUUUAUAGAUUGUAAAAAGUUAUGAAUUUUGACAUAAUUUUUAUUAUUCAAAAAUAAAAAUAUUAUAUGAUAAAUGAGUUUUAGUUAUUGAAAAUAAAAACAAAAUAAAUCUACACAACAUUUUUAUCUAAUCAAUUUAUGCCAAAUGACAAAACUGGCCCACAUAAAAUUUUAUCAACAUGUUCAAAUUUUCCAACGAAUAUUAAAUCUACAUAGAUAAACAUAAUAUUCCAACACCAUCAUUGCAUGGUAUUCAACAGUUGAAACCCACUUUCAGCACUCCCAUUGUGGGUGGUCUAAGAGAUAUUUUUUUCUUCACGAUUUGGUCCAAGUAAAAAGCGGACUGGGCUAUACAUAUCCUUUGAAGCCCACAUUACAUCAACAAUGAAUCCUUUAAGCAUUCGUUAAACAUUACGAUGGAUUCACGACUUAAAUUUCCUGCGGGACUCACUUCACUCCUAGGUGCUGACGUGAACACCUUUAGUAGAAACUAAACUGUCCCAUUAUAAUGGGACAUUUGCUAAAACCAACCCAAAUAUUCAAGUCAAAUGUAAAAGUGUACCCUACUUUCAGUCAAAUGCAAAACCAACCUAAAGGAGUAGUGAAACUACUAUUUAACCCUUAUGACCAAACAAAAAACAGAAAUGUAUUUUACGUUUCUAUCCUUUGGAAGUCUACACGUAAUAAAAGAAGUCUACAUAUAUAUAAACUUCAUACGAAGUCUACUUUAUAGACUUGUUUUGUAGUCUAUACUCUAAUUUGAUCUAAUAAUUUAAUUUUGAAAAUGUAUAAAAAUAAUUAUUGUGAUAUUUUUAACUAAUCAUCAAUAUAAUGGAUAAUAUGAAGUAAAUAAAUUAAAAUUUCAUAUAAUCGAACAAUUUUGAAGAAUAUAUACUAAUUUGGUUAUCAUGUGUUAGACUAUGUUCAUAGUUUAGAAACAAAAGGUUCUAACAUGUUAUGUCUUUUAGUAGUUGAUUUCAUAGGGUUAGAUUUUAGAUUUUGUUUUUUUUUUUGUUUUAUUAACUUAAAUCUGCAGAUUAAUGUUUAGUAGUUUAUAUUUUGUAUAAAUGAGACUUUUUGAUUAUCAAGCAAAACAUUUAGGGUUUGAGAUUUGUGAUUUAGGGUUUCGUAGACCUACAAUAAAGUCUAUUUAUCUGAAGACGUCUUUUUCAGUCUAUAUUUUUCAAUUUGUUUUACAAAAAAUCAUUAUAUUUAAACUUAGUUAAGUUCCUUACGAAUAAAAAAGUGAAAUCAUAUACUAUAACUAUUAAAAAAUAAAGAAAUAAAUUUAAUAAAUCAUAUAUUAAAAUUAUUAAAAUAAUAAAGAAUAAACAACAAUAAUUAAAUUAUUAUAGUAGACUUCCAAAAAGGUCUACUAUGUUAUAGUAAGAUCUACUCCAAAAUUUUAAUUUUAGUAGACUUCAAACGAAGUCUACAGUAUCGUAAAUUUUAACCUAGUUACAUUUUUGUCUCCCUAUAUAAACAAAAUUUAUACAAUCUCUCUCUAAAGUGGCUGCACAAGUUUUUAAAACUCUCUCCCUUCUCUCUAAAACUUUCUCUCUUCUCUCUAAAAUUCUCUCAAUUGUUUCUAAAUCUCUCUCAUUAUCUUCUUUCUCUCUAAAAUUUUCUCUAAGUCUUUCUCACAAUAUUAUCUUGUCAUUUUAGAUAUUAUGAUUCAUGGAUUUCAUCUUCUCCUUUAAAAAAUGUAAGUUUUAGAUCUAUAGAUUUUAACUGUGUAUUUUUAUGUUUAUUUCUCACAAUAUUAUCUUUUUCUGGUAGGUAUUAUCACUCAUGGAUUUCAUCAUCUCCUCUAAAAAUGUAAGUUUUAGAUUAAUAGAUUUUAAAUAUAUAUUUACAUGUUUAUAUUCAAAUAAAUUUAUAGAUCAAGCUCUCUACAUUAAUUUGCUACUAGUUUACCUUAUAAAUUCUAUUAUGUAAAGUAUUUUCAGAUUUUAAAUUAUUUUCACAUUUCAAAAUAUAUAGAUUUUUUCAGAUCUGAAAAUUAUCAGACAGUGUAGACUACUAAAGAAGUUUACUAAAGUUUGCAGACUUCAUAUGAAGUUUACUAAACCACAAAGUUUAAGCAGACUUCAUUGGAAGUCUACAAAAAUAUGACUUUAAUUUUUUUCUAUGUUUUUUAAUAAUUUUAUCUUAUUUUUCAAGUAUUUUCUUCCAUAGUUGUUCUCUUCUCCUCCUAGAAAUGUAAGGUUUACAUCUAUAGAUUUAAAAUAUGUGUUCUAGUAUUUAUAUUCAAAUAAAGUUACAUAUUAAAAUUCAUAUUAAUAUGUCUUUAAUUUAUAACUAUUUCGUCUAUUAAAUCAUAUUUUUAAAAGUUUUUUAGAUUUAAACUUAUUUUAUAUUUUUAAUAUAUUUUUUUCAGAUCUAUUUUUUUUUUGAUAGAGUAGACUUCAUUUGAAAUCUACUUAAAACUUACGGCUGGUAGACUUCAAAUGAAGUCUACUAGCCUUGACUUUUAAGCAUAUUUCAUUAGAAGUUUUCUCAAAUAUGAUUUUAAUUUUUAUCUUAUUUUUUAUAAUUUUAUUUUAUUUUGCAGGUAUUCUCUUCCAAUGUUUUCAAAUCAUCUUCCCAAAAAUGUAAGCUUUCCAUAUAUUCAUUAUAAGAUAUUUUGUUUAUAAUGAACUAAAUUUAUAGAUUCAUACAUUAUCUUUUUGCUUUGUUACAAGGAUGACAAAAAAUCAUUUUUGAAAUAUUUUUCAGAACAAAAUAUUUUCAAAUUUUCUAAAUGCACACUUUUAAAUAUGAAAAUUUUCCAUUAGUGUAGACUUCAACUAAAGUCUACUAAAGAAUAACUUUACGUAGACUUAAUAAAAAGUCUACUAAAAUAUGAUUUUAUUUUUUAUCUUAUGUUUUUCUCAUAACUCUAUCUUAUUUUGCAGGUACUUUUUCCAAGACUUUAUUUGAAGCAUCAAGAUUAUAAAAAAUCAAACAUACUCAAGAAUACUUUUUAAUAUAUUGCUCUGUAAUAACUUUCAUGAUAAAAUAUUAAUUUUUAAAUAAUUGUUUAAUGCAUAAUAAUCAUUGUAUUCAUUUUUAGUUGUUUUCACUUGUAUGAUAUUAUUAAUUUUUUGUUAGAUAUCAAUUUUUUCACAAGAUCUAACCAACCAAACAAGUAAAACCACCAUAAGCUAAAAUAAUAACUAACACACAUGUGAGAAGAAGAAAAUCUAUACAAAAUUUUUCCAAAAAUUUUGAAGAAUAACACUAAUCAAAACAAUUUGCAAUAAGUAUCAAGUGUAUAAUUAUAACACAUUAAAUUGUGAAAUUCAUCCAAGACCAUUAAAAUUUUACUAACAUACACUGUAAAAUAAUUAAAUCAUGAAAAAAUAUGAUGAAUAAUACACAAAUACACUUUUAAUAGAAUUUACGACGUAGACUUCAACUGCAGUCUACAUUUGUAGAUUUACAAAAACGUCUACACUUAUUAUCUAACAUAUAGUCAAUCCAAAAUUUUUUAGUGUUUUUGGCGCAUGCUUGAUACACAAAGGCGUACAAAGUAUGUCUUAGAUAACUCGAUCAAGUUCCGUACUUGUCGAUUAUUCGUGACAGGCAUAAGAGGAGUAUUUUCCUAUUCGGAGUCAUUUGUUUUAAAUGAUGUUUGGUAAGGAAUAGGUUAGCACCAUCUUCUCAAUUUUGUUGUCCAGAUCAUAAUCUUCUUGUGUUAUUUCAAGAAGUUUACCAUGUGUACAGCCAUCAUGCAUAAGGAACAUUCUUCAACCUUUCCGAUUCUUCAUCCUUUUCGAAUAUUUUAUCACCCAAAAUGUCUUUGGCCCAUGCUUCACACUCGCUCUAAGUUUCCAACCACAUCCUUGAACACGACACUUAGCCAAAUACAGAGUUUUCGUUGUCUUAUAUGCUGAGAAUGUAAAUUUAUAUUCCACAGUCACUGACUUCAGCUUUGAAACAAGCUCAGCCUUACUAGCAAAACUAUAAACGAAGACAUACAAAUACGUCUAUAAUUAUUAGCUAACAACAUUGUCAAAUCAAAUGAAUUAUACCUUCAUAAUUAUAAAAACAUUUAUUUUCAAAAUCACUCAAACCCAUUAGGAUUAACUAACACACACUGUCAAACAAAAAAACUAGAAAAAAAUUAAUGUAUAAUACACAAAUUCACAUUUUAUAGUUUUUUCUAUGCAGACUUAAUAUUCAGUCUCUGAAGAUGUAGACGUUCUUUUCAGUUUACAGACGUAGACUGUCAAAUAGGUCUACUCUUUGGGUUGGUUUUUGCAAUUGACCAUUUUACGGGUUGCUUUCUAUAGUUGAAUAAAAUUUGUGAUUUUGUACAUGUAGACUUUCAUUUCAGUCUACAAUUUAAAAAGGUUACUUUUUGCAAUUGACCAGAAUUCAUCCAAGAUUUGACUUUCAGAACUAGACUUCAUAUGCAGUCUACAUGUUUGAAUUUUUUUGAAAGAGGUUAGUUUUGCAAUUGACCAAGUUUGACUUCAAAUUAGUAGAUUGAAAUGAACGUCUACGGGUGUGUAGACUUCUUGUGAAGUCUACUCUCAAAUCCGACGGGUUGGUUUUGCAUUUGACCAAAAUAAAAAAAGUAGACUUUAUAUGCAGUCUACAUUUUUUUUUAAGAUAAGAAGAUUGCAUAUGAAGUCUACAAUUUAAUAAAUUUUUGAUUGCUUUUUAAACUUUUUGGUCAAACACAAAACUAACCUAUUCCAUGAAGUCAAAGUUUUGGUCAAAUGCAAAACUAACAUUUUAUAGACUUCGUUGGUAGUCUACAUUUUGUAGACUUCCGUUGAAGUCUAUUUUGAAAAGUCAAAAGUUCGGUCAAAUGAAAAUCUAACCUCUUUUAGGUAGACUUCUUAGUAAGUCUACCGAAAUUUUUAUUUUUGUUGUCAAAGGUAAAGACGGAGACUACUGGGGAAGUCUGCGUUAGAAAAAAAAUUUGUCUGGUCAAUUGCAAAACUAACCCGUGCGUUGACAAAUAGACUGCAUCGUAAGUCUCCACGGAGGCGUAGACAUACAAAACAGUCUACCGUCGCGACACAGAUCUGAAAAAGAACGAAAACCAUGUAAAUUUGUUACCUUUUUCAUGUGUAAAGCUCGUUUCCAACCUUUUCAACCGUCCAAACUCCAAAUAUGAGCAAAAAGAAGCAUCUUUAACGAUUCACUAAUGAAGAAACUCGAAAAUAUGAAGUUUGUGAUUAUGAAAAUGAUAGUUAUGAGAGUUUUUUAGAUGGAAAUGUAGAGGAGAUGAGAGGAAAUGAAGUUUUUUGGGUUAGAAUGAGAAAAAAGUGGUUGAGAAUUGAAUUCUAGAGCUUUAGAGCUCAAAAAUGGUGGUUCAUGGUGGUUGAAAAAAUUCAUGAUGAUGGCAUUUUUGUAAAUAAGAAGAAAUGGUUAGGGUGUAUUUGGUUUUUUGUUAAUUUCGAAAUUAAUAAAAAAAUAAAUAAAAAUAGCAAUUUUGUGAAUAAUUCAAAAACAUAAGGAUAGUAUGGAAAUUUUAUUGAUGAAUAGCAUGGACAAAAAAAAAGGGUUGGUUUUGGGUUUGACUUGAAAAUAGGGAUUGGUUUUGAAAAACACCCCAUUAUAAUAUAGAUUUUCAUAUAAUUUAAAUGCUUUUAGAAAACUAAAACCAAUAAAAAGAAUACAUGCUUAGAGAGAGGGUCCUAAGAGUAUAUAAAGCUAUUGCUCUUUUUCCUCUAUUGUCGAUUUAUAGUAUCUACUUUUGUUCAAGAAACAGCUAAAUGAUACUUAAGUGUUUAAUAUGUGACUAGUUUAAAAAGCGCGGAAUGAAUAUUUUAUAUACAUAUUAUUUUAUGUAUAAUUAUUUGCUUAACAUUUUUUACAUAUUAUGAAACAAAUUAAUAAAUAUAUAUUGAAAAAAUAUUAAUUGUUACAUGAAUAAUUAAAAUGAUACAAAUACAUAAAUAAAGAAAUCACUUUUAUUUAUUUACUAUCAUUUUGUGGUAAAUAAAUUUAAACAAUUAUGUUUUUCUAUUUUGUUUUGUAUGUAAUUAAAUAUAAAUAAUAUUAACAUGGAGAUAUAGAAUAUUUUUAAUAUGACUAUCUAUUAAACAAAACUUUCUAAUCAUAUGAUUUUAUUAUCAUUUGCAUUUUAAAAAAAAAAUUAAACCAUUAAUAAAAAUAAUGUUAGUGCGGGAUUUUAAAAUUUUUAAUGUUUUUAAUAAUUUAUAAUCUUUCAAAAAAAUUCAACGCAAAUCUUGAAAUUAAAAUAUUAACCUCUCAAUUUAAAAAUAAAAAUAAACCAUUAAUCACAAAAUUUUCAGUGUGAGACUUUUUGUAAUUUAUAGUCAAUUUUAAAUAUUCAAAAUAUAACAUAUACGAAAAAAUAUAAAUUUUUAUUAAAUGAUAAUAUGUUUAUUUAGUUUAUUUUAAUAAUAUAACAUUAAAAAAAUAAUUGUGGAUAUGUAAAUUGUUAUCAAAUCUUUGUUCUUAAAAUCAGUAAUUGUCAAAUAUAUUCAAUUCACUUUUGGUAAUUUCAUAACUUUUAUUUAAGGAAAGAAAUAAAAAAAAUAUUAAUUUUGGAAUGUUAAUUAAUUUAUGGUUAGUUUAGUUACACAUAUUUUAUAUGUUUAGUUGACCAACAUAUUUUUCUUAAGGCUUUGAAAAACAUUUUAGUGAUGCAUGACACAUGUCAUAGCUAAAAUAUUGUAAUAAUUCUCUUUUAAUAUAUAAAGAGAUUAGUGCUUAGACAGACAUGUAUACCGAUUUUUUAAAAAUAUUAUUUAAAAAAUCUUGUUUAUAAACGAUUUACCGCUUAUAGAUAUGUUAAACCUAUAGAAAUUUUCUUAUAUCUGAUCAGCAUAAAAAAAUUUUAAAAUAUUAUUUAAAAAAUCUUGUUUAUAAACGAUUUACCGCUUAUAGAUACGUUAAACCUAUAGAAAUUUUCUUAUAUCUGAUCAGUUUAACGUAUCUAUAAGCGGUAAAUCGUUUAUAAACAAGAUACAUUUUAGUGAUGCAUAGCACAUGUCAUAGCUAAAUCUUGUUUAUAAACGAUUUACCGCUAAACAGAGCCAUAGCAGCUGAUCAGUUAAUGUAUGCUUAUGUAUAACUAGAAUAAAGAACUGGUUGAUAAUGGUCUGCUUACUGGGAUAUGAGGAGUCUCUAGAGAGCAGAAUUUUAAUAUAACAAAUGCAAAGACUGAAAAAAGGUUUAUACUUGCAAUCAGUGAAGCAGUUGUAAUUUGAUUGUAAAUAUAAAAAAACCUUAUAUAUAUAAAAUAUAAAAACCCUUAGAGAUUGUGCUUUCUCCUUACAUGUCUUAUUUCCUCACACAGAGAAAAACUGUAUUUUCAGUAUAUGAUAAUGUUAAAACUUCGAGCUACCACCUAAAAUCCCAUAUCUAUACUAUACUAAAAGGAGGAUAUAAGCUCCAUUGAGCCUAUCCACCCACGUAGGAUCAUAAAUUCAAGCCAAUCCAGUGGAUGCCAUGUCAGCUUAGUAAACAAAAAAUCUAACUUUAGGAUGGCGAUUCCUUCUUCCUCUUCAACGCCUUUCCAGUGUUUCUAUCCAACUUCUCAGCCGUUUCAAGUUUUCUUCUAUGAUCUUUAUUUCACGAUUCUGUUCAAAGAUUAUAUGGACCCCUCAAUAUAUUCAAGUUAAUUCAGCCUAAAGCCUUAAUUGAAACCUAAAAGCAAGAUGUGUUCACGCCGUCGUCUUCCUCGAACAUCUUCGCUCUAAGCUGUGAUUAAGUUAGUCGCUAAUAGAGGUUGUUCAAGUUUCAUAGUCUCUUCCGUCUGCAAUCAUGGAGAUAAUUACUUUCGUUACAUUUCUAUGUCUAUGUCGGCGUCGUUUUGUUUUCGAUUCAUCUCCUCUUAGGUUCGUAUCCCUAUUCCUAGCGGUGGAUCUCCCAUUAUAAAAGGUAAGACUUCAUCUCAUGAGAAUCAUCCUCACAACUCCAAUUGCAUUCUAAAAUUCCUUUCUAUAUAUAAUGACUAAAUUCCGUUUUACUUGCAGAAUUGAAAUUCGGCUGUUGAGCUUCCGUCGUCAAGGUGCGGCUGCUCAGAAACUGAAAAGCGUGACGAGUUGAUGGGAGUUGACAUAAUCCUCUUCGAUGAUAAGGUAUUUCAUUCUUAAAACUCUUUAACAGCUUAUUUUUAAACUACAUGGACGUUUUAACUCAUAAUUAUCCAAACUUCUGUAUUCAGAUAUUGAUUUAAACUCUUUUGAAUGAGAAAUCUUGAAACUGUUUGGUGAUUAGGCUUUCUUUUUCACAUGUGAUUCAGUCGACGCUCAUGCCAGCCACCGUAAUGUCAAUAUCUGAAUACCUUCCAGCACCACCGUCUCAAGGCGGGUACUCUGUUCACUGUUAGCGGAAUCGAGGACGUCUCAACCGUCUCACCACCUUUCACUCUAACCUUGUGCUCCAUCCUCCUCUCGAGUUCUUGCUCAUCAUGGUCAAUCUCUCUUCUUCAUCUUAUGAUUUGAAUCAGCUUUGAAACUGAACUUUGAUAUUGGAUUACAGAUUGUGGAGUUUUAGUUCGUCUACGAAAUUAAAUUGUCUCCUUGAUGUUAUGUAUGUUGUUUGAUUGUGAGUAAAAUCUAAAUGGUGUGUCUUUUUAAAAUAGAAAAUUUAGAUCUUGGAUUUUUUUGGGUUUAACCACAAGCGCAACAUUGUUCUAUAGCUGUGUUUGAGAGAGAUUUAGUGUAUAUAAUGUGUUUUCGAUGCAAAAAACAUAAAUUCUUUUGCUAUUUAUCUGUGUUUAGAUAGUGGAGCAUUACGUGGCUCUAAGGUGUGAGUAUUGUUGGGUACUUUCACACUAACAAGAGGAUUGAUGAUGUGGAGCUUUGUGGUGAUCACUUCUCUCGCUAUUUUCCUUCCUCACCAAUUCUGUAAAAUUUUGUAUCCUUUGCACUCGGGUACAUUAGUUGAUUGAAGCACUAACUAGGUAACCAUCUUAUGCUAUUUUAUUUUUGAACAACAAAAAUCUUGAAGCCUUAUCAAAUGGUAAAAAUCGAAGGAAUGUGAUGCAGGUUGGUAUUUUAACGAGGACAAAGUUUUGGACAACUUAGUAUAGCCUUUUUUUUGUUUUCAUACAGUUUUUUUUGUGUUCAGACAACUUAGUAUAGCUUGGAAAUGAAAUUUAGAAUUAGCCAAUUAUGUAAGGAAUAUUUAUAUAUUAAGGUCACUCUACACAAGUAUAUUGUUAUUGCUAUAUAAGACAAAAUAUAGUUAAUAAUAUAUGAAGUCUUAGAAGCUCGAAUUUUUUAGUAUUUGCAUUCAUUAUUUUUACUAGAUCCUCUGUUCGCGCUACGCGCGGAAUAUAAAUUUUAAAUAUAUUAUUCAUAAUUAUUAUUAAUAUGUGAAUAUUUUUACUUUGUAUUUAAUUUAAUUUUAAUGUUUAAUAGUAUCUUUAGCAGUUUUCUAUUAUUUUUUCUACGUUUUUGUUUUCUAUAAAUUUAGAAAUUUUAAAAAAUUUGAUAUAUGUACCACUUAGCUUUGGUCAUAUGAUAUGUCGAUAUUUUAUGAACACACUGAAGAUGGUAUUGAAAUCAGCUUAUCUUUUAUGUCAUGGAGGAGCGAAUACAAAAAGAAAUUUGAUAUGGAACAUAUAGCCAUUUUCAUGUAACUAAUAUUUGAUUUAAGUGUAUUUAUAUAUAAAUUUAGCGCUAACUAUAAUGGAAACAAAAAGAAGCCACACCCCCUUUUGCAGGUGAAUACUAAUUUUUAUUCAUUAUUUUUGAUUGGUUUUAAAAUAUGUAGUAGAUGGUAAAUUAAAUUGGAUUUUGUGUGUGUCUUUGUUGUAAUACUGGUUUGCAAUGUAUUAUUAUUUGUAAUCAUUUUAUUCUCAUGUGUCAGAUAUUCGUGUAUCCUUUUCGUUUUAAAUGUUUAUCUUUUGGUGAAUAAAGAACAUACACUUAUUUAUAAAGAGGAUAUAUAUAUUUCAACAAAGAGUAUUAUUUUUAUUUGAAUAAUAUAUGUUUCUGGUUGCAAGAAUACUAUAACAUAUUUAUGUAUAUGAGAAAAUGCAUUUUUGAAAUCAAUAAAUGUAACAUUUUAUUUUCUUCUAAAGUUAAUGUCCAUGUACAGUUAUGUAUUGUAUUUAAAUAUGAUAUUUAUAUUUCCGAAGUUCAUAUUCUUCUGAACCACAGGAUACAACUUAUUGUUUGUAGAAUUUUGCUCCUACUAUAAAAGUGUAGUAAUUUUUUUGAUUUCUCAUUUUUAAAUGUGUUGUAAUUGAUAGUUUUUUUUAAUGUAAUGUAAUUGAUAGUAAGAUUUCAUUUGCUGUGAACAUACAUUUAUAUAUUGUUGGAUUAACGCUUCUAAACAGCCGGUUAAUUGUUUCUUAGCAUAUUGAUUUCUCAUGUAUCACAUAAGAAUAUUUGUCAAGCUCUCUUUUUCGACUGCUUGUUUUAUGUGUUUAUAGUUCAGCUUUUUGUGGAUACAUGUUGUUGUUUAAUGUUUCACUUGUAUAUUAACGUUACUUUUGUUGUUAUUGUAUGUAAUUAUUUUGUGGGAAUGAUUGAUACAACAAUGAUUAAUAUGUGAUUAUAUGAUUUUUGUGUUAAUUAUUGGUGUUAACUUUUGGAGUAUAUUUAUUGUAGUUUAUUAUUUUGUUGCUGUCAUUAAUUGUUGCCUAAAUUCUUUAUUUGAACCAAUUUUAAAUGUUUUUUUUCUAACUUUUGGUUCAUCUUAGUUUCAAAAAAAAAACUUUUGGUUCAUCUUAUUUAUUUCUUUUUGUGUUUUGGCCAUAAUAUUUAUUUUGUAUGUAUGGUUCCAUUUUUUAAUUUUUUAAUUCAUUUGUUAUCUUUUUCAUUUCAGCCUCGUCUAUGUAAAGACAGUUUCCGGGUCUAGCUCUAGUAUUUGUUUUAGUUUUUGGUAUUUUUGGAAAAAAAUUUUAAGGUAGUUAUUUAUAUUUAUUUCUGAGUUUGAAAUAUUCUCUGUUGAUUCCAAUACCAUGGCGUUAAAUUUAAGCCGAUUGUCUUCAUGGUCAUUGCCGGAACAUUGAUUAGACCUUGAUUUUGUUGUAAUAUUAAAUUCAAUUUUUUUCAAUUUAUGUAAGAGAAGAAAACAGAACUGCUUGCCUAAACCAUUCAAGCAAUUAGUCCAACUUCUGUGUCUAAUAUAUAUAAUUAGUCAUGUUUAAGACCAAACAACAAAAACGAUUAUAAAGUAGAGCACAUUUGAAUAUGGUUGAAUGUGACUAUACUUUUUGAAAACUAAAUAAAUAUACAUUUUUAAAUCUGAAAACUAAAACAAAGUUUUAUCUAAACAAAAUGAAAAUCAAUACUAUGAAAUUUUUGUUACUUUGAAUCAAAUUUAUCGUCAAUCUAGAAAUAUGGUCAGAGAGUUUAAUGACUUUCUCAAAACUUUUCAUGGCUUCCCUUUUCUAUGGAUACUGCUCAAAUCCAAACCUUCUUCAACAAACAGAGCAUAGAGCUCUUGUCUCCCAACAGUGAGUGCAGCUGACACUGGGAUCAGCGAAGACAAAAAAUAAACCAUGAGCACAUCCAGUGGCUCGAUCCUUCAUGAGCAUCACUUCUAAACCUCACCGAAACUCUGAAAUGUACUCUCGAUCUUCAGUGCGUCUUCCAAGAGAGAUGACCGAUGAACAGCUUACAUGAUUCAAUUUUCAUUCUGCAACAGAAUUUGUUCCCGAGUUAUACAUCUAGUAAACAUCUCGAUCUGACUGAAAAAAUCAUAUAUGUCUAAAAAAAAUAUAAAACUCAGAAUCAUCUACUGGAAAAAUCUGAUUGAAAUAAUUGAAUCGAACAAAACUUUAUGAUCAGAUCGAGAUCAGCUUUACUAAGAGGGCCGAGACCAAAAUCCGACCCGACGCUCUCAAAGACGAUGUGGAAUUUGCCGGUGUUGCGGUCCUAGAAUUUUCCGGAGAAGUGGAGCUAGCAAUCGUAGUUUCUGUUAUAUUAAAACUGCGUAAUUGGUCACCUGCGGUCCAUGUUCGAAACUACGCUAGGAGUGAGUCGGGCUGUUGGUUGGUGUCUAGCGAGUUAACGAAAAAUCGGAGAUUAAGCUGGAGUACGUGGGGAUUAGUUUUCAGUGGUUUUCUUAAUUUACGUAUAACUAUAAUCUAUUAAACAUUUUUCUGCGUUUCUUUUGAAAGACGACGUGGUCCAGUGGCAAAAGACGGUUUUAUGACGGAGGAUGUCACGGGUUCGAAACGCAGAUCCUUUCUUUUUGUUUUAGAUUUUUUUUUUCAUUAAUGGCAAACUCGUAAUAAAAUCGUCUUCUUCCUUUUAGGGCUUUCACUUCUACUGCGAAAUUUGCAUGGCCGCCUCGAACUUUUUUAAAAUAAAACAUCAUUUUCUUGCAAUUUUCUUAUCAAUUUUUGCAUAAAAACUGUAGAUUUGCGACGUAACAUCAAAUUCCAAGCGUUUAAAAUUCAAAAGCCUGGACUUUUUUGAUGAAUCCGAUUUUUUGUCCGAUUUUGAUGAAAUCGCGGCGGUUCUUCACCGCCGAGCGUUGCAAGGCCAUGUACUCGGCCGGGUUGCCGCGUUUUCGAACAUGGCCUGCGGUUGAUGAACUAUACUAUUCGUUGGUUGAGUAUUCCCGAGUCAAUGUGAAUAUUGAACUGAAAAAUUGUAUUUAGAACUGAAGCCGAGAUGAUGAAAUCGACUCAAACAGACGAAUCAAUCUAUUAUUAGUGACUUUAUAGGUUGAAUCAAUAUAUAAUUAUGAGUGCUGGAGGAAGGUUUGGGAGAUAACACAGUCCUCUCAAAAAACGUUUUUGCAAGAGGAAAAAAGAUGAGAAGAUCAAUCGAAAUAGGCCCGAAGCUUUUUGAGAAGUUUGAUGGUGACGUGACCAAACAAUGCUCUCUGAUUGGUUGAAUUUAAUAAAUGACGUGGACAGCUUUAGAGUGGAGUAUAUCGGGCUUUUAGUAUAGUAGUAUAGUAUUUUAAUCAUACUCUUUAGUCAUGUGAAUUAAACAUGCAAUUUAUGUGUAUAGUGUCUAAUUGUGCUAUAUACAUUAGCAAAAUUCUUCACGUAUGAUUAUUAUUUUUUAUUAGGUAUGAAUAUACUAAAAUAUAAUAUUCAGAUUCUAAAUAUCACAAUAAAUAUUUGAUAAAAUUUUAUUUUAAUAUAAAUAUGAUUUGUUAAACAAUAUAUAAUGAUUUUUUAUUAAUAUUGACUAAUAUUUUUUACUGAGAUAUGAAUAAUCAUCUAGUAAUUUUAAAAUGAUAAAAAAUCUAAAUAAUUGACAUGAUCAAUAAUUGUGAAUAAGUAAGAUAAUAAAGACUGCAUUCUUUAGACACGUUUCUAACAUGACAUGUAACUUUGCAUAUUAAUCAGUAAUACAGUUAAUUUAUAAUUCUAGAAAUCAAAUCUAACCUGUAAGUUUGAAAGCCAAAUAGUUCGAAUUCGAAUACUUAAAUAUAUGACCUACAAUAGUUAUUCAAUGAUUCUUAUUCUUUGAAAUAUAAUUUUUAUUUUCACCCUAUAAAUUUAGGUAAAAUAUUUUUUUACCAAAAUUGAGACUGUCAUUAUUUUAAAAUUUACUUUGGUUUAAACUUUUUUAUUUGUAUGGAAAAUUAGUGAUAGUCUGCUUACUUUAUUUUUCCAGUGAAAUGGAGUAUACUGCUUCUAUUGCUUGUCGCUAUAGCUUUAGUAACAAAAGACUAUACCAAUAGGAUUUAGUCCUCAUCACUCCAUACUCUAUAUACAGGGUGAUUCUCAAAUUUUGGGGAUCACAGACAAUUAGUAAAAUAAAUUUACUAAACAAAUUGAAAACUCUAUGUUUAUGUAUUUUAAGUUUAAAAUUUUAUGAGGUAUAUACUCUACGUCCAAAACGGUUCUGUCCAUGUGACUAUUCAGUGGAGGAGCUUGUUUAAAUUUGAUCUGUUUUCACCUUAAAACUUUGAUAUUCUACCAUUCUUUGAUAGAUAAAUCCGAAAGCGAAAACCAUAAAAAUCACUAAAACUAAUCUUCUAUGGUCUAAUAUUUCUUCAAGUCAAUAUAAUAUUUUAAAUAGUGAUGCUUCAAUGAGCAAAAUUAUAUCUCAAUCGAUUAACCUAAUCCAUCGACUCGACUAAAACUAAAACAUGCUUGAGAACAUCAUAGUUUUUUUUUUGCUAAAAUGUUAACAUCAUAGUUGACAAAGGGUUUGCAUAUUAUAGAGUAGGUUUGCAUAUAAUAGAGUUCAAACGUCACACUAAGUGAAAAGAACAUUUAUUGAUCAUUUGGCUAAUCAGGUUGAUUCAGCAGACACUAAUCAAUGCAAAUUUAACUGAUAAAUUUCCUGAAAGAGUUCAAUGUUAACAUGAGAAAUUGUAACGUUAGUAAAACUUAACGUAAAUAACAUGAAAGGUUUGUUAUAACUUAUAACAUUCACUGAGGUCACAAAAGAAGAAAACAAAUAGGUAAAAAUAUGUUAACAUGAAAGGUAUGCUAUAACUUCUUAAAUUAUUAGUAUCUUAUAUGAAAUUUAAUAUAUUUUUGUUGAAUAUAAUUAGUUUUUUUUAUGAAAGAAUAUAAUUAGUUUCUUAUUUGGAAAUGGGGGAACAAUUAUUUUUUUAUUACAACUUGAUAAGUAAUGGUCAAGUAAAUAUUCAUCUGAACUUUACUCCGUAACCGUAAAUAAUAAAAACUAUAUAAUCUCACCAUAUAUAGAAACACAACAUGCAUGUCAUUUGGUCUCUUAUUGUUAUUGCUCACUUGUGACGUUGCUAUUUGUUGUGCAAAUCGAAAACAUAAUAUCUACUACACUAUACUCAUGAGGAAAAUGAUUCAAGAAAAGCGAAUAACAGUAUAAGGUUCAGACUACACUCAAAAACUCAUCGAGAAGAAGUUAAACACACACAGUUCAUGAAUCAUAAAGUAGAACAGAACAUAAGAGUUAUUUUAACCAAACAACCUAUAAGUACUUAUGACAUCAAAAUCAUAUUCAAAAGCUUGAAGCUUUUUUUAAGACUUUAGUUGCUCCUUUCCCUUGUAGAGAGUUGAAAUUGAAACAUCAGAAACCUUGACAACCUUGUACCUAACUCCAGGAAUAUCUCCCACAACAUGACCCUCAGAAAUAAAGAACUCGUCCUGCAGACAUUAACAAAAGAUGAUUCAACAUUUCACAAAACUAAUCCACGUUUAGUAAAUGGCUCACAGCAUAACCUUCUUUCCGUUCUUGAUAAGUUGUACUCUAGCACACUUACGGAUGACAGAGUUAGGCUGCUUAACCUCGAUUCCGUUGCAUAUUCGAACACUAAGACUCACGCAUCAACACCACUGUCCACACUAAAAUUAAGCAGAUAAAGAAGCAAAUUCAUAUAGUUCUUACGUUUUCUGAUGGACGAUUCCUUUUGCAUGAGAAGGACCCAACAAAAAGCUUCUUCCUUUCAUUUCCUAUGGUCAAUAGAAACGGAACAAAGAAAAUAAUCGUCUACCUGCCUGAACCCAUCUUUGUAUCUCUGUCCAUCUAACACUCGUUGUGCCUACAAAAUCACACAUGAGAUUAAAUGUCACAUCUAAGCACAAAUACAAAAUCUCAAAUCUUAUCCAUAUAUGAUGAAGUUUAUAAGUGAAUUAUACCUCACACAAAAGCAUAUCUUCUUCAGAAAACCAACAUCUUCACUUGAAAUCUGAGUUUAAAUAUGUAUAUCAUCUGUUAACAAAAGAUCCAUAACUGGAUUUAAGAAAAAACUCUUGUAGUUCUAACACAACGCAUAAAUAUUUUGAUUACGGAAACAGGUUAGCAUAAUCAUUUAUAUCAGUAUGAUUCAAACUGAUUGACCCACCUUCUUCACAAUCUCUCCGUCACGGGAAUUGGUUUUUUUACCGGAGAUUCUCGGAGGGUUGAAAACGGUGAUAGCUGUAACCUGGUAAGAACCUGGAUGAUGAUGAUUCAAUGGUGAAGUAGCUUCGACGGCGGUUGUGCUUAGAAUUCUGGUGGAUUGCAUGGCCAUAGAUGUAGCUUCUUCAGAAUAGGUUUUGAUUUAGAUUAAGACAUAUAUUUAUAUAAGAAAGGAUCAAGGGAGGUGAAAAGAAACAUUCAAGGAUUGUUUUAAGAACAUUAUUGAUUAAUGAUUGAGAAGGUUAUGCAAAAACAAAUCAAAUCGCAGAAGACGAAGUGGAAGAGUCAAGAGACUCGAAGCUUGAAACAACGAUACAUGUUUCUCUGUUUUUUCUCUUCAUGGGCUGGGUGGGGUGGGCCACACUGAUAAUUUUCAUAAACCCACACGAAAGUUCAAUCUAUAUCAGCAAUGGUGAUAUGGCAAAAUUAAACUUUCUCAUUGGUUGAUUAAAUUUGCCUACGUGGAUAGUUUAGAUGUUGAUCUUAUUCAACUUUUAGUAUUAUAUAUAUAUAUAUAUUGAUUGCAUCCUGCACAAAUUAAAUGCUGUCAGUGUUAAGAUGUAUAACAUGACUAAACUGUCUACUUGAAUUGUGUGCGCAACCAUCUUGACACCAAGCUCAUAUUGUUUAUUUUUUUUUCUAUUUGAUGCAAUUUAAUUUUGCUGUAGUUAAUGUCAAUUUUUUAAAUUUUUUGUUUUUUUUUCUAACACCUUUUUCUAUAUUAUAUGAUAGCUUUCUGUGAAAGAUGCUUCUAAUAACUGGAAAAUGGUUGGAACAGAUGUAGGAAACAAACUAUUCUUGAAAGAGCCAUCAGCCAAUGUAAUUUUGUUAGAUUGCAUUUCAUCUGAGUCCUGAGAAAUGCAAAGUUGUGACAUAUUUUGUCAGAUUACAUUUGAUUAUGUCUCCAAGUAAGCUAUAAUAUAUACACGACCUGAAGAUGAAAAUACAUGGAAGACAUGAAGUGCUUUCUCUAUAUUUCUCUAACGUGCAAGAAUAUUUUUUCCCUACAAAUAAUAGGAAUCCUAAAUAAUAAUUUUGGGAACUUUUUUCUAAUAAUAGAUCAUUAUUUUUUAUUAAAACAAAAUGAGCAGUGGACGACAUAUACAUGUAUAUGCUAGACAAUUAUCAUAAUUUAAUCUCCUAAAUUGUAAACCAACAAAGUAAAAAAUCUAACUAAACAAAAUUUACAAUCCCCAUAAAAGAUCAGGACUAUUAACACAAAAAGAUAUUAAAGACCAAGAACCAGAAAAUACUAUAAAAAAGCAAUACCAACAAAAUACAAGCUAGAAUGCACUUGACAUUUUUUUUUUUUAAGAAAAACUUCUUUAUUUAUUUUGCAAAACCGGAUUACAAGGACUAACAAACCUACCUUACUCAAAAAAUCUCCAAGGGACUUAACAAUGCCCUUAGAAAAUACUUAACCAAGAACCUAAGUAAGUAAGAGAGGUGCUGUCUGUGAUUCUCAUGUUUCGAGAUAGAGGAUCAAGCUUUGACCGAAUAAUCUGCUUAACUUCUUGAAUAAUAGCUUGUGUGGGCCUGCUCACAGAUGAAUGUAAGCGGGCGUUUCUCUCCUUCCAAAUCAUAUAGAGCACAGCUUGGAAUAUGAGCUUAACAAUGAGGAGAAUAUUUGUGUCUGUUGAAGAGGUCUUUAGCCACCUAAGACACUCUUCAAACAGGACGGGAGGAUGUACACGGGUACGAGAACAGAAAUACGCCCACACUUCCGAGCUGUAUGCACAGUCGAAGAACAGGUGCUGUCUAGACUCCUCAUCGCUUGAGCAUAAGAGACAGCUCGGGGAAACCUCAAUACCCCACGACCUCAGUCUGUCUCGAGUAGCUAAUCUGUUCCAAGCAACCAACCAAGCAAUAAAAGCAUGUUUGGGAAUUCUACCUUUGAACCAGAUUUGAGCAUGCCAGGGAACCGGAGGAGAGGGAGGGUGCAGAGCAGACCACGUCUUAGCGGUAGAGAAGAUAGUUGAAGGGGAAUCAUUUCCCGUUCUCCAUAGGUACUUAUCAACACUAGAUGAUAGCACAAUCUGAUCUGGCGAUGGCAAACAUUGCUUCAGUAAUGUGAUUAUGGCGUUCCUACUACGAGACGCACUUAACCACCACUCUCCAUUUACUAAAGCUUCUGCCACCGUCGCAUCCCUGUGCAGACCCGAAGCUGCAGGUCCUCUUCCUUCUGUUAAGUGGAACAAGAAACCAAGAUCCGUCCAAUUAUCGUACCAGAAGCUAGCUAAAUGCCCAGACCCCACUUCGCAACAGACAAAGGGGCGGGCUAACGUCCUCAGCUUACACAGCUGCUUCCAGAUCCAGCUGUCCCCUCGUCGAGGUUCCAGUUCCCAGAAAUUUUUGGAUCCAAUUUUAUGCCUCCACAUCCACGAAACCCACAAUGAUCCCCCUGCUGCAAACAGAAGCCAUAUAAGCUUCAGUGCCAGCACCUGAUUCCAAUCUAUUAAUUUUCUCAAUCCUAAGCCACCUUCAUUCUUCGGUGUGCAGAUAAUGUCCCAGCUUAUCUUCGCACCUCUCGCAGACUGUGGAGCUCCACUCCAUAAGAAAGCAUUACACAUUCUUUCAAGGAUCGAGAUGCAUUCACUUGGCAAGAUGAAAAUCGAUGUCCAGAAGGAGAUUGUGGAGUAAAUGACUGCUUGAAUUAGCUGGAACCGUCCCGCAAAGGACAGAUGUUUCACUGUCCAAGAAUUAAAUCUUGCCUCCACUUUGUCGAGCAAAGGUUUGAAAUCUGACUUCUUCAUUUUCUUGGAGGACAAUGGAACUCCGAGGUAUCUCACCGGCAGUGCCCCUUGCUUUAUUCCCAUAGACUCAGCCAAUUCUUGACACAAAGAGUGACUUCCACCAUCAAUCAUAAGCUCAGUCUUAUCUCUGUUGAUACUCAGACCCGAGAUUUGCUUAAACUCAUCCAAAAUCUCCAAAAUCCCUCGCAACGAGUCCUCUGAACCAUCAAAGAAAACCAAGACAUCGUCUGCAAAACUCAGGUGCGUGAUUAGGGGUUCCUCGCAUGAUGGAUGUGGCCUGAAGCGAUUGUUCACAACACCAGCAUCUAGCAUUUUUGAUAGAACGUCCAUGGCAAGCACAAAGAGGAGAGAUGAAAUUGGAUCUCCUUGCCUGAGACCUUUUUUCCCUUGAAAAAAUCCAUGAAGCUCGCCAUUCACUACUACACUGAAGGAAGUAGUAGUGACGCACUCCUUAAUCCACCCAAUCAGCUUAUCAGGCAGUUCAAUGGCUUCUAGCAGGUUCAGAAUAAAGUCCCAACUUAUAUUAUCAUACGCCUUCGCCAAAUCAAUUUUCAAGCAUCCCCGAGAAACUCUACCUUCCACAUGAAAGUCAGUUACUAGUUCCGAGGCCAGAAGAACAUUCUCACAUAACAACCUUCCUUGAAUAAAGCCUACUUGAUUUCUUUGCACAACUUCAUCAAUGAAUAGUUUGAUCUUCUUUUUUAGAAGUCUCGCUAUCACUUUGUAGACAGUAGAGCAUAAGGAAAUUGGCCUGAACAUAGAUAGCCUAUCAGCGCCAGUUAUCUUUGGAACCAGGGAGAUGGCUGUGGCGUUGAACUUCCUUAACAUUCUCCCAGCCACAAAAAACUCUCUUAUUGCAGCCAUAACAUCAUUUUCCACUACUGACCAAGCACUCCAAAAAAACUCAACUGGAAACCCAUCAGGCCCCGGCGCUUUACUCUUGGGCAUUGACAUUACAGUCGCGAGAAUCUCCUCAUUGCUGGGAAUACCACAUAAAGACUCAGUCAAGGCCUCAGGACAUCUAUACGUCAUAGUAAUCUUCAGAUCAUCCACUGAAGGGGGGGGGAGACCAGGGUUCAAACUGAUCCAAGCAGGUGCUGAAAGUAAGACACCACCAUAUCCUUGAUCUGUGUCUUAUUUGUGAUUCUUGUUUCCUGCCCAUCAAAUAAAAAUCUGAUGGCGUUCCUUGCCUGAUGAGCGAUCACAGCUUUAUAAAAAAAUUUAGUAUUAGCAUCACCCUCCUUCAGCCAUCUGAUCCUCGAUUUUGUCCUAUAGAAGAUCUGUAGCGCAGAGUCCAAGAAUUUCCACGUUUUCCUUGCCACAAACUCACGCCUGAACAAAGACUCUGUUGGGGAGACUAACAUCUCACUCUGAAUCUCCUGAAGCUCCUCCAUAGCCAGUCUUGUUUUUUGUUGGAUGUUUCCGAAACCAAGUCGAUUAAGACUUCUGCAGGCCUUCUUUACCUCUUUCAGACGCUGACCCAACGAAAACAGUUCUGACCCCACUGCUAUCUCCUUCUGCCAUGCUGCUAAUAUCUCCUCCUGGAACUUAGGAUGAGAAGCCAGAAAUGAAAAAUAUUUGAAACUCACUUUCCUAACUUCUGGAUCUGCUCGCAAAUCAACUACACAAGGUGCAUGGUCAGAUUCUCCUUGCGCCUCAAAUUGAGCAACCACAUCUGAGAAUACCUCCCUCCAAGCUUCAUUCCCCAUGGCUCUAUCAAGCUUACGAAUAAUGGGAUCUUCUGGUCUAUUAUUCGUCCAAGUAUAAAACACUCCCCUUAACUCCACAUCCUCCAACUCACAUUGGAAUAGACAAUCUCGAAACUCCUCCAUCCCUCUCAGCGGUAAGUCAUAGGGUAGGAUAGAAAAAUGCUCAGAUGCCGUUAGAAUUUGAUUAAAGUCUCCAAGAAUAAGAAAGGGUUUAUCCUUGACCAGGUGAUGGUCCGAAAUAUUCACUAUCUCUUCCCAAAGCUGCCUUCUCUGACCUUCAGUGUUAUACGCAUACACAAAACCCACAGUUAUAUAUGUCUGAGUAUCAGGAUCAAAGACCCCACACACAAUCAUCUGCUCUGAUUUCUUGAACACAACCACUGAUAACGACUGUUUCCACACCACCCAAAUCCUACCUCCAGCUACCUCCGAAUAGUUACUAACACACUCCCAACCUUGAAGUAAAGCAGACAUCACAGCAGCAGAAUUCUCUUCCCUCACUCGAGUUUCCACCAAAGCACCUACUGACGACCCCAAAUUAUUCAACCAACUACGGAUAUUAUUCUGACGACCAAAAUUAUUUAACCCCCUGACACUCCAAGAAAAGAUCUUCAUAUAUACAAGAUUGAAGACCGACUUGCGGUUAGCGAGCAGAAAUCCCAGUCGAGGUUGCACCCCGAGAUAAGAUAGAUGAAUCUUUUGGAGGAGUUUUCUCUAGUAAGGAAGCCUUCCACAAAUUCUGUCUAAGCGCUUUGCGAACAGCCUUAGGAUGCUUGAACCAAACCCUCUCAUCUUCGUCUGGAUCAAUACCAACACCAGGAGACUCUGGCUCAGACACUACUUCUUCCUGAUCUGACACCUCUAGUUCACUCACACUAAGAGACUCUUUAGGUGGAACUACUUGUACAACGCUCUUGUCUCUAGCGAACUCAUUUUUCCCCCUGAAGUUGGCAGUACCUUCAAUAGCAAGAUCGAGAGCUUCCAUGUCUCCAGAAAGAGACACCGGGGCCUCCUUCUCCUCAAUCUGAGACUUCGAGAGAGCACUCUCAACUACCUCCGUAGCGCGAGAUCUCAACCUACCCCUUCUCUUAGAUUUCUUCUUCUUCUUUUUUUCCACCAGCACUUCACUCUUCGCCACCUGAGACUCGGGAAGUUCAAGUCCUACUUCCAGCAUAUUUGACUGCAGGUUAAUCUCUGUAGAAGUUGAGACCAUCCUUUCUUGGGACAGACCCACCUGCUCCAGUACCUUCUUCUUCUUGAUUAUAGGUUGCGUGCAGCGGUUGAUAAGGUGGCCAAACUUAUCGCAGUUUAUACACUUUGGAGGGAGGCUUGGGUAGUCAACUUUGAUUCGCACCGCAUUACCUUCAGUAUCUCUAACUUCGACCAGUUGUGGUGGAGCCGCCUCAAGAGUAAUCUCUAUCUUCACCUUAGUGUCACCAAAGUGAUAUGGGUCCAACCUUGACUUUUCCGUAUGGAGAGGCUCUCCUAUCGCACUCGCUACGACGCUUAUCCCAUCAAGCGAGUACAACUGAGGUGGGACGUUCCGCAGAAUAGCCCAAGUUGGAGCAGUCUUUAGCUCCUUCUCCUGUAGAUUUCCUUCUAGAGACCAAGGGAAAACUGAGAAAGCACAAUGAUCAACUUGCCAGUAACCCACCUGUAACACCCACUCUCUCGUUUGAACUGAGGGAACGUAUAUGAGGCAGCUGGUUGGAGAGACCGUUCGGACAGUGAUGUUUCCAAACUUUCCCCAAACAGGGUUUAAAUCGGCGAUGAUUUUUGCUGGGUGAGGUCUUCGACCGUGGAAAUGAGCCACUAUGUGGUCUUUCCAUAGCGUAGAAGCUUGUAGAAGAACAGCCGGUGGAGCUUGGACCACUGGUGUACCGUCUUCGAGAUAGGUUGGAUUCGAGAUCUUACGGAGGUUCCUGAGAGACGAUUUGAACCUUUCGGCAUACGUCGGAGCUGAUGAAGAAGGAAUCUCAGCCGGAAUGGACGAGACCUGAAGCUUAGCAUCGAUCUGAGAAUCGAAAGCUUGUACUUCUUUGUCCGAGACUGAUCGAGGAACUUGAGAUUUGGAAACAGCAGCAGCGUAAGAGGCCAUUUUGUAAGAAGGGGGGAGGGAGAGUUCUCGUCUUCAGGCGUGAGGCCUGGCGGCGGCGGCGAAAGGGGAGAAACCCUAAUCGCACAUUUUAUCGCAUGAGAGAGAAAAUCGCUGUUCCGUUUUAUCAUUUAAAAUCGCACUUGACAUUUACAAUACCCAUAAAAGAUCAGGACUAAAAAUUGCAUACAAAAGGAAAGAAUUCAAACAAAAAAUACAUUACAUCCAUACGCGUGGGACCGAUUCUAGGCACCAUGCAUUUACGUUAGUACAUUUUGAAAGAAAAACAUACAAUACCCUUACACUAAUCACUAUGUUUUUUUUAUCAAAUCAUUAUGUUAUUUCGAUAGAAAAAUGUAUUAAAUAAUUAGCUAUGUUUUGACCAAAAGAUAAAUAAUUAGAUAAACACUUAUACACACACAGUUAAAAAAAACCAGAAAAUGCUAUGGUUUAAAUGUUAACUAAUUCAUUAACUAAGCCAACUGGUUAAGCAAACCAGGUCAUUACAGUUUUAUAAAAAACAUAAAAUGUUUCUACUCAUUUUUUUUCUCAUUGAGAAAGCUUCAGUUCAAAAUUUAGCUAAUUCAUUAACUAAAUCUAUUAGUUAAGCAAAUGGGGUUAAGUAAAUUUUGUUGGUGUUAUAUAAUCAUAAAUUUUUGAAAAAUUUAAAUAUUUUUUUUAAAAAAUAGACUAUUGGUUGUAAAUUUAAGGGGAUAGUCCAUUAAAUUAUUUAGAGACUAAUUGGAAACAAACUUUAUAAAUAGUUUUAACUGAACUGAAACAUUAAAACAAUUUAACCAAUUAAACACCAUAACUAAAAUUUAAUUAAGUUUUGAUCAUUAUGCUCUUCACCUUAUAUAUAAUUUUUAAUUAAAAAUUUUAUUUUUUUGAAUAGCGUAAGACAAAAAGAUUGAAUAAUUUAAAAUUAUUUUAUAUUUAUCGAUAGCUAUUUAUAUGUUUAUGAUAGAUUAUAAAAUUUAUAUAUUAAAAUAAACAUACUAACUAUAUAAUCAAAAUUUAAAUUUAAACAAAAAUCCGGGCGUAGCCCGGACCGAUCCUAGUAUUUGUAAUGAGACACCGAGGAAACAAAUUUUCACAGAACUUAAAGAAAAAAAUAAUUAUAUUAUCUUUGGUAGUGUAGUGGCAGAAAAAAAACAAUAAUAUUAUCUCUGUCUUAUUGGAGAAGGAAUUGUUAAUAACAAUUUAUUAUUGCCACUGGAAUCAUUAGAAAUGAUAUAUUUUGUUAAUACGAGAUAUUUUUUAAUAAAAUAAUAUAUAUACAUAUAUCGGUAUACUGUAAGUGGGCCACGAACCACGAGACAAAUAUUAGUUAAGUUUGAGCCCACAAAAGUUUAAUAAUGGACCACUGGCUAGUUUGGAUUUUGCCAGGUGGGUCCCAUUUGUUUUCAAGAUUUCGAAGUUGAACCCCAUACGUUUUUAAUUAUUAGCUAAGGGACACUUGGGAUUGUGUGGCUCUUUGCCAUGGAAUCCAGACAAAAAAAAUAUAAAGAUAAAACAAUAAGGAUCAAAAGAAAAGGAAAAGAGAAAAAUAAAGGAGAAACACAAGCUGUAAAGUUUGACAAUAGGAGAAUUUGAGAGCAUAUAAUCCAAAUUUUUGUGAUGGUUAAGAAAAAAAGGUAAUGAUUGGUUGCCUUAGACUUUUGUAAUAAUUAUAUACAUACAUGUUUAAUGUCAUGAUAUAGACUCACUAUUUAUUAGAAACUAAGUAUACGAAAAGACACUAUAGUUUAUUAGUUUGAAAAAACUAAGUUCGAAUUUCAAACUAUUCAAUUUCUUGAAAAUGAUAAGAUGUAAAUUUUUAGAGGUUUCAGAGUACCGUAGACAGAAUUGUUCGAGGGACGAGUUUCUGCCUCAUACAGCUCGGGCCGAAGACCGGGGGAAAUUUAGGUGAUCUUAUGUUGCGGAGAGAGCAUGUCUAUCAAGAAUAUCAAUGACAUAUAUGCAGAACCGUCCGUCGAUCCAAAUGUUUCGGGAAAAACUUCAUCGUAGAAUCAUUGUUCUUGGACUUGUCAUUAUUAUCGCAUAUAUUGCAUAUAGUUGAUCAUAUGUAAUUGAGUUAGAGAUUAUAUGAUGAUGUAAUGUGUACUAUUUAUUGUUUAAGAAAAGCAAAUAUAUAUAUAUAAUCGGUUUAGUUUUGAAGCUGCUCCACUGUACGAUUUAUUAUAAAAGUAAGGACUUUUUUAAGAAAAUGGUUUACGUGGCAGCAUCUAGUUCAACUUUACAACUUUUAAAUAUCUUUUUUAAGAAUAUAUAUAUUUUUAUACCAAAAGCUUGUGAAGGCAGUGGUAUGAGAUACAGCUAUCAAAAAUAUCAUCGUUAAACACACUACACUACACAGUAAGAUAUCAAGUCCCAAAUGGUGUUGUUGCUUUGACAAAAAACAUCUCUGCAUUAAAAGAACGACCGACAAAGAAAAACCGAAAGAAAAAGGGUGAUGGUAAAAAAAUGUGGAGGUGCUAAUUUGGCAAAGGUUGUAUGUUUUUAAAGUUUGCACGCGUUGGGCCCCCCUUGACUUCCUUCCACUAUUUCCAUAUGUUUCAAUAUUAUUUCCACUAUCAGAAUGUUUUGACAAACUUUGUUACAUUCGUUUAAUUAGUAAUUACAUCUCCCCACUGCAUCUGAUUCUUACCUACACGAAUCAUAAAUUCUUCAUACUGUUUCAUUCUUGUAAUUUCCAAAAAACAGAUCCCAACUACAGAGUCCACUAACUGAUGAUCCGACCAAACACAAGAACAUAUCACUAUUUUACGUACAAGUUCGCUAGCUCUAGCUAUUUUUCCCUAAAAUAAAUUCACCACCAAAAGCACUCAAACCUUCUCAAGAAGAAUGAAUAAUUUUGUUUUGAAAAUUAGAACUUCAGUGGUUUUGCUUUUUUUUGGGUUUUUUUGGAACUGAACCUGUCAGAAUUAUAUAAACACUAAUUGUACACAAUGCUUAAAAGCACCUCCCAAAAAAU